Caenorhabditis elegans is the source of this 159-nucleotide non-coding RNA. The record is from Ensembl. NCBI's taxonomy places the organism in Eukaryota, Metazoa, Nematoda, Chromadorea, Rhabditida, Rhabditidae.
UGCUGUACACAUGACCGAUCCAUCUCUUUUUCAAUUCUUUCCUACUAAUUGCAUAUGAAAAAUGAAAAGGAAAAUGUGGAAUUGAAUGAGAAAUGUAAACAGAAUAUUUCAUGGUGGUGGAGGAGGUCGGCGCCACGGCACCAAUGUGUAAUUGGAGCC